CUAGAGAGAAGAACAAGGGAGACUUUGCGCCAGUUCUGAGUCAAAAGGAUGUCUCUUUACCCUUCCUCAAGGAGAUGACAGAAUAUCCAAGUUUGAAGACAGGCUAGAGGAACUGCAACAUUCCAUAAGGACAAGAUAAAUUAAUAAGGUGCAUGCCACUGUGCCCAACUCUUUAUGAGUGCUGGGAAACCAAACUCAUGCUUGGACGGAAACACUGUACCCACCGAGCUAUUGUAUACGAAGAUGGAGUGGAAUCCACUUUCCUAACUGCGAGUGGCCCUAUGAUGACAUAGGGACACCCAAAUGAAUACAGGCCCUAUGAUGAUAUGGUGAUACCCAACUGGAUGCAGG
Mesocricetus auratus (golden hamster) is the source of this 351-nucleotide long non-coding RNA. RefSeq lists it as uncharacterized. Lineage: Eukaryota; Metazoa; Chordata; Mammalia; Rodentia; Cricetidae. The record is from RefSeq and is a predicted model, not a curated record. The transcript has 3 exons.